GCAAGUCGAACGGUAGCAGCAGAGCUUGCUCCUGGGUUCUAGUGGCAGACGGGUGAGUAACGCGUGGGCAAUCUACCUCCGAAUAUGGAAUACCUGGCCGAAAGGCCCGUUAAUACCGUAUAACAUCCUUAGUCCUUCGGUACUUUGGAUCAAAGCUGGGGCUCUUGAAAGAGGGCCUGGCGUUUGGAGAGGAGCUCGCGUCAGAUUAGCUAGUUGGUGGGGUAAUGGCCUACCAAGGCAUCGAUCUGUAGCCGGCCUGAGAGGGUGAUC
RNAcentral lists this ribosomal RNA (270 nucleotides) under uncultured bacterium. Its description in RNAcentral is "partial 16S ribosomal RNA". It matches the Rfam family "Bacterial small subunit ribosomal RNA", at positions 57 to 305 of the family's 1533-position model. The record is from RNAcentral.